Molecule: long non-coding RNA, 649 nt
Organism: Cebus imitator (Panamanian white-faced capuchin)
Lineage: Eukaryota; Metazoa; Chordata; Mammalia; Primates; Cebidae
Exons: 3
Source: RefSeq, a predicted model, not a curated record
UCAGGAAAGAUAAAAUCAGCCCCGCAGUCUGAGUAACUGGUUACCAGGGUUUCGGCGCGCCCAGGACCGGUCAUCGUUUAGGCACGUCUCUGGUGACCUCAUUCCACAGUCUUUUUGGGGAAACAAUUCCUGUUUGAGCAGAACAGCUUCUAGAGGCUGGGUUGGCUCAUGGGACCCUUCCAUCUUCAAGCCAGCAAUGCCAGGAAUAGUUGAAACAAGAGAGAAACUCCUAGAAAAGACUGGUAGUAUUCACUGGGAAACCCCUGGACUGGUGUUUUGCUGGGAAUGGAGGUAAUAGGUGUUUGAUAAACUUUUUCAUUUGUCUAUUGUAAUUGGUUUGUUUGGAUUUUCAAUUUUUCUAUUAAAUUGUUCAUUUUAUCUAAAUGUUCAGAUUUAUCAGCAUAAAACUAUAUACAUUCCUACAACAAAAAUUCUGUUGUGCCUAUCAUCACACUCCCUUUCCACUUCUAUCAUUGUGUAUUUGUGGUUUCUCGUAAUCAGACAUAAAAAGUUUCUCAAUUUCAUUGUGCUUCAAACUAACAACUCCUGAUUUUACAUAUGAAGCCAUUUUUGUUUUCCUAAUAAAUUAGAUUCUGCUUUUAUCCUUUCAUUAAUUUUUUCUUUCUCCUUCAUAUUAUUUUAUUGUUUG